Molecule: ribosomal RNA, 497 nt
Filed under: uncultured bacterium
Lineage: Bacteria
Description: partial 16S ribosomal RNA
Rfam family: Bacterial small subunit ribosomal RNA
Source: RNAcentral
GAUGAACGCUGGCGGCGUGCCUAAUACAUGCAAGUCGAGCGAACAGACGAGGAGCUUGCUCCUCUGACGUUAGCGGCGGACGGGUGAGUAACACGUGGAUAACCUACCUAUAAGACUGGGAUAACUUCGGGAAACCGGAGCUAAUACCGGAUAAUAUAUUGAACCGCAUGGUUCAAUAGUGAAAGACGGUUUUGCUGUCACUUAUAGAUGGAUCCGCGCCGCAUUAGCUAGUUGGUAAGGUAACGGCUUACCAAGGCAACGAUGCGUAGCCGACCUGAGAGGGUGAUCGGCCACACUGGAACUGAGACACGGGCCAGACUCCUACGGGAGGCAGCAGUAGGGAAUCUUCCGCAAUGGGCGAAGGCCUGACGCAGCAACGCCGCGUGAGUGAAGAAGGUCUUCGGAUCGUAAAACUCUGUUAUUAGGGAAGAACAAAUGUGUAUGUAACUAUGCACGUCUUGACGGUACCUAAUCAGAAAGCCACGGCUAACUACGUG